GUCUUGCCUGCCCAGUGACAUUAGUUCAACGGCCGCGGUAUUUUAACCGUGCGAAGGUAGCGUAAUCAUUUGUCUAUUAAAUGUGGACCUGUAUGAAAGGUAGAACGAGGGCUUAACUGUCUCCUUUCUUAAGUCAAUAAAAUUGAUCUCCCCGUGCAGAAGCGGGGAUAAACUCAUAAGACGAGAAGACCCUGUAGAGCUUUAGAUAAAUAGGUAGCCCACGCACUACCCGACGAGGGGAAAUUUAAGGGGGAUCUAUCUUUAUGUCUUAGGUUGGGGUGACCCUGGAACAAUAAAUAACCCUCCAUGUAGAACGGUAAUAGUCUUUUACUAAGAUUAGAGCGACAGCCCUAAUUAUCAGAAUUUCUGACUUUUAAGAUCCGGCAAUGCCGAUUAACGGACCAAGUUACCGCAGGGAUAACAGCGCUAUCCCCUUUUAGAGACCAUAUCGACGAGGGGGUUUACGACCUCGAUGUUGGAUCAGGGCAUCCUAAUGGCGCAACCGCUAUUAAGGGUUCGUUUGUUCAACG
Molecule: ribosomal RNA, 530 nt
Filed under: Choridactylus multibarbus (orangebanded stingfish)
Lineage: Eukaryota; Metazoa; Chordata; Actinopteri; Perciformes; Synanceiidae
Description: partial 16S ribosomal RNA
Rfam family: Bacterial large subunit ribosomal RNA
Source: RNAcentral